Molecule: long non-coding RNA, 844 nt
Filed under: Oryctolagus cuniculus (rabbit)
Lineage: Eukaryota; Metazoa; Chordata; Mammalia; Lagomorpha; Leporidae
Description: lncRNA (ENSOCUG00000034273.1)
Source: RNAcentral
AAUAGGUUACCUACCUAGAGCACACUUGAGAUCAACACAGGCCCGCUAUUCUAGCCUGGAGACAAGACAGCUGUCACCCACGUUUUUACGCUGCCUGGACGCUUCUGGUGCUGCUGUGCUUGCUGGGAGGGAGAGGAGGGUCUUAGAUGGCUGGCGCUUGCGCAGUCGGCCUGGUGGAGAGCAAGAAGAUGUAUCCGGCGGUGGCGGCAUGUUGUCGGCUGCAGGAGUUGUCGGCUGAUGGCGGCGUUUUCGGCAGAGGUACAGGCCCGGAGAGUGCAGGAGUGAAGACAUCUUCAUGGAUAUGAAACUGGACGCAGAGUUGACGCUGAAGUUCAGCUGCCGAGUCAUCUUCCAUUUCUAGAGACUGCUCGAUUUCCUGCUAAACACACUUGGGGCUUCUUCCUGGAGAGGAGCAACUGCUCCAUGCCAAUGUGUGUCCUGUUGCCAGUGAGGAGUGUGCCUGUGCCUGGCGCUUUGACCCAGAAGUGCACCCGCAGGUGCCGCCACUUCUGCCCUCGAUGCACUGGUGGGAGUCAGAGCCAUGUCUGCUCCUUCCCAGAGCCUUGAGGAGCCGCCUUCAACGCUGGUGGCUGAACCUGAGGAGACCCAGGGCCCCCCCAGGCUCAGGCCGGGAUCAGACUGCACACAUGGAGGAGAAAGCAGAAGCUUAGAGAAACGCCAAGAAUCCCCCUGUGCUCUGUUCCAGCCUGUCCAAAAUUCUGACACCUCACACCCCUUCUGGAAGCAAUGGCUGUCCCGCCAGCAGACCAGGCCCCCUUGGAGGCUCCACAGCGGCCUCGAGGUCUUGCAGCAUGAUGUCAUAGAAACUGCUUUGUACUGGUGA